AGCAGCCGCGGUAAUUCCAGCUCCAAUAGCGUAUAUCAAAGUUGUUGCAGUUAAAAAGCUCGUAGUUGAAUUUCAGGCCUGGCUGGGCGGUCCGCCUUUUGGGUGAGUACUGCCUGUGGUCGGGUCCUACCUUCUGGCGAAGCGUCAUGGCCUUAACCGGCCGUGGCGGGGAACCAGGACUUUUACUGUGAAAAAUUAGAGUGUUCAAAGCAGGCAUUCGCUUGAAUACAUUAGCAUGGAAUAAUGGAAUAGGACAGUGGUUCUAUUUGUUGGUUUCUAGGACCGUUGUAAUGAUUAAUAGGGAUAGU
Molecule: ribosomal RNA, 308 nt
Filed under: uncultured Glomeromycotina
Lineage: Eukaryota; Fungi; Glomeromycota
Description: SSU rRNA
Rfam family: Eukaryotic small subunit ribosomal RNA
Source: RNAcentral